AUUCACUCCAAUGACCAUCCCUGAGAUCCUCUUAUAAAAAAACCCAGUCUUUCCUGACCAGACAAACCAUACCAUAUCCCACCAGAGAGUCCUAGGGGACUAGACAAGGAAAAAGAUAUGAGGCCGUAGGGUAUCUGUGUGUUCUCCCACUGACCACGCUUCCUUUAGGGACUCCUGACUACCUCCUCAAGUCACAGACACCAUGUUGCCUCCCAUGGCCCUGCCCAGCUUAUCUUGGAUGCUGCUUUCCUACUUCGUGCUCCUGUCUCACUUCAAGGUGAAGAACCCCAGAAGGAACUGCCCUCUGCGCGGAUCCGCUGUCCCAAAGGCUCCAAGGCCUAUGGCUCCCACUGCUAUGCCUUGUUUUUGACACCAAAAUCCUGGAUGGAUGCAGAUGGUUCAGAGCCUGAUGGAGAUGGAUGGGAGUGGACUGGCACUGAUGUGAUGAAUUACUUUGCAUGGGAGAAAAAUCCCUCCACCAUCUUAAACUCUGGCCACUGUGGGAGCCUGUCAAGAAGCACAGGAUUUCUGAAGUGGAAAGAUUAUAACUGUGAUGCAAAGUUACCCUAUGUCUGCAAGUUCAAGGACUAGGGCAGAUGGGAAGUCAGCAGCCUGAGCUUGGUGUGCAGCUCAUCAUGCACAUGAGACCAGUGUGAAGACUCACCCUGGAAGAGAAUAUUCUCCCCAAACUGCCUUACCUGACCACCUGGUCGUGAUCCUCCUUCUUUUUCCUUCUUACUCACCUUCAUUUCAGGCUCCUCUCUGUCUUCCAUGUCCUGAGAUCUCAGAGAAUAAUAAUAAAAAUGUUACUUUA
This is an RNA transcript of Cercocebus atys (sooty mangabey), 814 nucleotides long. It is a transcript of the gene named regenerating islet-derived 3 gamma, with no coding region annotated. The record is from RefSeq and is a predicted model, not a curated record. NCBI's taxonomy places the organism in Eukaryota, Metazoa, Chordata, Mammalia, Primates, Cercopithecidae. The transcript has 5 exons.